AGAGUUUGAUCAUGGCUCAGAUUGAACGCUGGCGGCAGGCCUAACACAUGCAAGUCGAGCGGUAGCACAGAGAGCUUGCUCUCGGGUGACGAGCGGCGGACGGGUGAGUAAUGUCUGGGAAACUGCCUGAUGGAGGGGGAUAACUACUGGAAACGGUAGCUAAUACCGCAUAACGUCGCAAGACCAAAGUGGGGGACCUUCGGGCCUCAUGCCAUCAGAUGUGCCCAGAUGGGAUUAGCUGGUAGGUGAGGUAACGGCUCACCUAGGCGACGAUCCCUAGCUGGUCUGAGAGGAUGACCAGCCACACUGGAACUGAGACACGGUCCAGACUCCUACGGGAGGCAGCAGUGGGGAAUAUUGCACAAUGGGCGCAAGCCUGAUGCAGCCAUGCCGCGUGUGUGAAGAAGGCCUUCGGGUUGUAAAGCACUUUCAGCGGGGAGGAAGGCGGUGAGGUUAAUAACCUCAUCGAUUGACGUUACCCGCAGAAGAAGCACCGGCUAACUCCGUGCCAGCAGCCGCGGUAAUACGGAGGGUGCAAGCGUUAAUCGGAAUUACUGGGCGUAAAGCGCACGCAGGCGGUCUGUCAAGUCGGAUGUGAAAUCCCCGGGCUCAACCUGGGAACUGCAUUCGAAACUGGCAGGCUAGAGUCUUGUAGAGGGGGGUAGAAUUCCAGGUGUAGCGGUGAAAUGCGUAGAGAUCUGGAGGAAUACCGGUGGCGAAGGCGGCCCCCUGGACAAAGACUGACGCUCAGGUGCGAAAGCGUGGGGAGCAAACAGGAUUAGAUACCCUGGUAGUCCACGCUGUAAACGAUGUCGAUUUGGAGGUUGUGCCCUUGAGGCGUGGCUUCCGGAGCUAACGCGUUAAAUCGACCGCCUGGGGAGUACGGCCGCAAGGUUAAAACUCAAAUGAAUUGACGGGGGCCCGCACAAGCGGUGGAGCAUGUGGUUUAAUUCGAUGCAACGCGAAGAACCUUACCUGGUCUUGACAUCCACAGAACUUUCCAGAGAUGGAUUGGUGCCUUCGGGAACUGUGAGACAGGUGCUGCAUGGCUGUCGUCAGCUCGUGUUGUGAAAUGUUGGGUUAAGUCCCGCAACGAGCGCAACCCUUAUCCUUUGUUGCCAGCGGUUAGGCCGGGAACUCAAAGGAGACUGCCAGUGAUAAACUGGAGGAAGGUGGGGAUGACGUCAAGUCAUCAUGGCCCUUACGACCAGGGCUACACACGUGCUACAAUGGCAUAUACAAAGAGAAGCGACCUCGCGAGAGCAAGCGGACCUCAUAAAGUAUGUCGUAGUCCGGAUUGGAGUCUGCAACUCGACUCCAUGAAGUCGGAAUCGCUAGUAAUCGUAGAUCAGAAUGCUACGGUGAAUACGUUCCCGGGCCUUGUACACACCGCCCGUCACACCAUGGGAGUGGGUUGCAAAAGAAGUAGGUAGCUUAACCUUCGGGAGGGCGCUUACCACUUUGUGAUUCAUGACUGGGGUGAAGUCGUAACAAGGUAACCGUAGGGGAACCUGCGGUUG
This 1520-nucleotide ribosomal RNA is filed under the name Klebsiella variicola. RNAcentral describes it as "bacterial SSU rRNA". It matches the Rfam family "Bacterial small subunit ribosomal RNA". Lineage: Bacteria; Pseudomonadati; Pseudomonadota; Gammaproteobacteria; Enterobacterales; Enterobacteriaceae. The record is from RNAcentral.